This is a non-coding RNA of Stenotrophomonas terrae, 159 nucleotides long. The record is from Rfam. Lineage: Bacteria; Pseudomonadati; Pseudomonadota; Gammaproteobacteria; Lysobacterales; Lysobacteraceae.
CCCUUGGGGAGUAGCCUGCUUCCAGCAAUGGAAGCGCCCACAUCAACAUACUCGGCCAGUGCGCCGUGGUGUGGGCAGCCAGACCCGGUUGGCGAGACCAGCGGCAUGCGUGCGCAACUACGGUUGGGCGCGGCGUGUGCCGUUUGUGUCCGCCCGACC